AAGUCUGAUAAACAAGCCUACUUUCUCAAAGUUCUGUUCCUACCAACUGUAUGGGAUGAACAGGAAAAUCUGAUAAGUGUGUACUAUAAAUGUGGUAACGGUUUGACAUCUGUGAUAUUCUCUGAAGUUGCAGAUGCAGACCACUUGAGGCCUUGUGCCACCUCAAGCCAGAGCGACAUUAGUCCAAGUGGCAGCCAGGAAGAAGCUGGCCAAGACAGAGCAUCAGAAUCAGACCAAGAGCUGCCAUCCCUGCUUGAUGAGCCUGUGGCUUCUG
Coregonus clupeaformis (lake whitefish) is the source of this 274-nucleotide long non-coding RNA. RefSeq lists it as uncharacterized. The transcript is spliced from 3 exons. Lineage: Eukaryota; Metazoa; Chordata; Actinopteri; Salmoniformes; Salmonidae. The record is from RefSeq and is a predicted model, not a curated record.